Molecule: RNA transcript, 749 nt
Organism: Nycticebus coucang (slow loris)
Lineage: Eukaryota; Metazoa; Chordata; Mammalia; Primates; Lorisidae
Gene name: 40S ribosomal protein S26-like
Exons: 1
Source: RefSeq, a predicted model, not a curated record
AAUUCCAUGGGAACGGCUCUGGUAUUGGGAAGCUUACUACAUUUCCACAGAGUUCUUCCUUCUGGUUUUAUGUAACUUCAAACUACUGAUUUUAGUUUUGUUCUCCAGAAUGAGCUGAUUCACAAGUCACUUCAGAGCUGUUAGGUUGGUGGCCAAUUGACAAUAGAAAUUGCUGUCAUUUUCUCCUUUCGGAGAUAUAAUAUCUUGGAUGAUAUCAAAAAGGCUGAUUUCUAGAAACGAAGUCCCAGAUAGAGUAAUCAAGAUGUUUGAGUAAAAGUGCCCUGAGAAUGAAAGCCAAUAUUCCACCUCUUUCGCGUCCUUGCUUCGAAGAUGACAAAGAAAAGAAGGAACAACGGUCUGUGCCAAAAAGGGUCGUGGCCAUGUGCAACCUAUUCGCUGCACGAACUGCGCCCGAUGCGUUCCCAAAGACAAAGCUAUAAAGAAGUUCUUCAUUCGGAACAUAGUGGAGGCCGCGGCUGUGAGGGAUGUUUCUGAAGCAAGUGUCUUCGACGCUUAUGUGCUUCCCAAGCUCUAUGUGAAGCUACAUGACUGUAUGAGUUGUGCCAUUCACAGCAAGGUAGUCAGGAACCGUUCUCGGGAAGCCCGCAAGGACCGAACACCUCCACCCAGAUUUAGACCCGCGGGUGCUGCCCCAAGACCUCCACCAAAGCCCAUGUAAGGAGUUGAGUUCUUGAGGACUGAAGAAUAACUAUUCUUUGGGAAAAAAAUAAAAUGGAAAUUAUACUUAA